This 74-nucleotide transfer RNA is filed under the name Candidatus Moranbacteria bacterium RIFCSPHIGHO2_02_FULL_40_12b. RNAcentral describes it as "tRNA-Val". It matches the Rfam family "tRNA". From Rfam's summary of the family: Transfer RNA (tRNA) molecules are approximately 80 nucleotides in length. Their secondary structure includes four short double-helical elements and three loops (D, anti-codon, and T loops). The record is from RNAcentral. RNAcentral also lists the same sequence under 1 other name. Lineage: Bacteria; Candidatus Moraniibacteriota.
GGGUCUGUAGCUCAGUUGGCUAGAGCGCUUCUCUUACAAAGAAGAAGUCACUGGUUCGAGUCCAGUCAGACCCA